UACGGAGGGUGCAAGCGUUGUCCGGAAUCACUGGGCGUAAAGGGCGCGUAGGCGGCUCGGUAAGUAGGGGGUGAAAUCCUGCGGCUUAACCGCAGGGCUGCCUUCUAAACUGUCGAGCUCGAGCACGGUAGAGGCAGAUGGAAUUCCCGGUGUAGCGGUGGAAUGCGUAGAUAUCGGGAGGAACACCUGUGGCGAAGGCGGCCCCCUGGUUGGAUACUGACGCUGAGACGCGAAAGCGUGGGGAGCAAACAGG
This 253-nucleotide ribosomal RNA is filed under the name uncultured bacterium. Its description in RNAcentral is "partial 16S ribosomal RNA". It matches the Rfam family "Bacterial small subunit ribosomal RNA", at positions 524 to 776 of the family's 1533-position model. The record is from RNAcentral.